CGUGUAGGCGGCUGGAUAAGUCAGAUGUGAAAGCCCUGGGCUUAACCCAGGAAGUGCAUUUGAAACUGUUCAGCUUAAGUAAGGGAGAGGAAAGUGGAAUUCCUGGUGUAGAGGUGAAAUUCGUAGAUAUCAGGAGGAACACCGGUGGCGAAGGCGACUUUCUGGCCCUAUACUGACGCUGAGACGCGAGAGCGUGGGUAGCAAACA
RNAcentral lists this ribosomal RNA (207 nucleotides) under uncultured Smithella sp. Its description in RNAcentral is "partial 16S ribosomal RNA". It matches the Rfam family "Bacterial small subunit ribosomal RNA", at positions 568 to 774 of the family's 1533-position model. Lineage: Bacteria; Pseudomonadati; Thermodesulfobacteriota; Syntrophia; Syntrophales; Smithellaceae. The record is from RNAcentral.